This 447-nucleotide ribosomal RNA is filed under the name uncultured bacterium. RNAcentral's name for it is "partial 16S ribosomal RNA". It matches the Rfam family "Bacterial small subunit ribosomal RNA", at positions 338 to 795 of the family's 1533-position model. The record is from RNAcentral.
CCUACGGGGGGCAGCAGUAGGGAAUUUUCGGCAAUGGGGGGAACCCUGACCGAGCAACGCCGCGUGAACGAAGAAGUUAUUCGUAAUGUAAAGUUCUUUUAACAGGGAAGAAAGAGAAAUUUGACGGUACCUGAAGAAUAAGCUCCGGCUAACUACGUGCCAGCAGCCGCGGUAAUACGUAGGAGGCAAGCGUUAUCCGGAAUGACUGGGCGUAAAGGGUGCGUAGGUGGUUCGGCAAGUUAGUAGCGUAAUUCCGGGGAUCAACCUCGGAACUACUACUAAAACUGUUGGGCUUGAGUGCAGGAGGGGCAUAUGGAAUUCCUAGUGUAGCGGUGGAAUGCGUAGAUAUUAGGAAGAACACCAGUGGCGAAGGCGAUAUGCUGGACUGUAACUGACACUGAGGCACGAAAGCGUGGGGAGCAAACAGGAUUAGAUACCCGAGUAGUC